UCGACAAAGUUUAAUAGCAUUUUCACUUUGUUUCUGCAACGUGUAAUCGUCUAAUUAACGAAGGAUUUUUAUGUAAAAAAAAAAAACGUUGCGCGCAAUCUUCGUGGAAAAUAUCGGACCGACAGAAUAUUGCAGGAGGGAUGACGGAAUACUGUUUGUUUGACAGAAAUAAAAUCAUUGACGUCAUCCUCAUGAAUCUUUAUCUUAUUUAUGUAAAAAUAAUUGCUCAAUUUGCUAUCGUUACGAAUUCAGUUUCGCAGAUGCGCGCCGAAGGACAAGUUGAUCGAUCGAACAGUUUAAAAAUCGUGUUCAACGAAAAACUGAAACUUGAUAUGUACAUUUAAUUUAAUGAAAUUUAAUGAAACGUGUACAUAUUCGUUAAAAUGUGAAAUUUGGUCAAAUGUUAACGAUUCUUUCGAACCGGAUACAGACAAGAAGAUUGAACACCCUUUAAAAAAAAGAGCUAACAAGAAGAACAGAGACAAAUAAGACGUAACGUAAACACAGAUAAUGACAAAAUCGUGUCUACAUUUAAUGCGAGUUAAAAAUAUUUUUCGUACAAUUUAAUCGCGUUACGGAUACGAUUAAAUGUGUAUCGAGCAAAUGAUAAAUUAAAUGUGUAUCAAUAUGCAAA
Molecule: long non-coding RNA, 634 nt
Organism: Megalopta genalis
Lineage: Eukaryota; Metazoa; Arthropoda; Insecta; Hymenoptera; Halictidae
Source: RefSeq, a predicted model, not a curated record